This 460-nucleotide ribosomal RNA is filed under the name uncultured bacterium. Its description in RNAcentral is "partial 16S ribosomal RNA". It matches the Rfam family "Bacterial small subunit ribosomal RNA", at positions 338 to 795 of the family's 1533-position model. The record is from RNAcentral.
CCUACGGGGCGCAGCAGUGAGGAAUAUUGGUCAAUGGGCGCAAGCCUGAUGCAGCCAUGCCGCGUGUAUGAUGAAGGCCCUACGGGUCGUAAACCGCUUUUGCACGGGGAUAACACCCUCCACUUGUGGAGGUCUGCAGGUACCGUGCGAAUAAGGGCCGGCUAAUUCCGUGCCAGCAGCCGCGGUAAUACGGAAGGCCCGAGCGUUAUCCGGAUUCAGUGGGGGUAAAGGGAGCGUAGACGGCCAUGCAAGCCAGGGGUGAAAGCCCGGGGCCCAACCCCGGGACUGCCCUUGGAACUGCAUGGCUGGAGUGCGGGAGGGGUAGGCGGAAUUCCUGGUGUAGGGGUAAAAUCCGUAGAGAUCAAGAGGAAUACUCAUUGCGAAGGCGACCUGCUAGAACAUAACUGACGCUGAUGCGCGAAAGCGUGGGGAGCAAACAGGAUUAGAUACCCCAGUAGUC